GGGAUGCUCCUGUUGGAAAACCUUCAAAGUCACUCUUUAAAAACCAAGCAUAGACUGAAAGGUGACAGUGAAAGUGUUUCUUUUUGUUCUUAGCACACCCAGAAAGAGGAAAAAUAAACUUCCCCAGAACUCGGCUUAGUUCUCUGAAAUCUGCCGAUAUUUUUCCUAUAGCUUAACUCUAUGUGCCGCUCACUUAGAUGAGCCAAGUGGUAGCUUAGAUCCUGACUUCCUGAAAGCAUUCUUGGAGUAGAAACAAUGUGUGCCUGGCAUCAUACUGGGUAGUGUUUCCUUAAAGUUCCUGCUUGCCACAAGAUUCCUUGAAUCCCCUUCAUCUGUCACACUGGCACUUAAUGUGAUGACUGGAGGUGUUUCACAGUGAAGAUGUUUGCUCAUCAGGUUCAUAGGUGAAUUCACAGAAGAAGAAUUCAGAUGCAUCGACUUCUUGGUCUUGGAGUUCGCAUGCUGGAUAGGCUGCCCAUGCAUGUUGACUUGAUUCCAAGUUAUUGACUGUGGACACGAGAUGACACAUAUUGUUGUUUGUUUUAGGAAAGAAACAGAAAAUACUCAUUUUUAUGACAUCGUUAAAAACUAGCUUGAAGAUGGGAAGAGGAGUCACUUGUGGGAGAAGUUACCUAACCUUUGUGGGAAGGAUGGAUAUGUACCCAGUGAGACAGGUUCCCGCUAAUACGUGUCUCCUGGUUGCUCUUCAGAACAAGAAAUGCCAGCCCCAGAGGACGCCCUUCUGCUCUCACUUCAGUAUGGGCCUCUAGCUUUGUGCUGGCAUUCCUCCAUGGCCACUGCUGCAGCCCACGUCUGAGGGGUUCUGGCCCCGGACAUGAGCAGGGGUUUGCUGGGGCAGGCGCGAUGAGAGUGGUUCUGUAGCGGGUCUCGGGAUGCAGGGGUCUGCAGCAGAAUUCUGUUGUCUGUCUCCACAGGACCUUCGUGUACACAGAUUAUCUGGUGUCCUCAUGCAUACCACCCACCAGUCACUGCACCAGAGUCCACUGUGAGCUCUGAGCUUUGAGUCCGUGCCUUUCGCCUUCUACCUACGACCCAUCCAUAAAGAAUUGUCCCUGCCUCCUCGUGUGGUACCACUUAGGUCCACUGGCCAUUUUCCAGCAAUGUCUUGGCUCGUUGUACAGACUUGCCCACCACGUUUUCAGCUCCUUUUUGAACUCAAAAAGCUGAAAGUACGUGGGGAAAGGUAACUUGUGUUACCUCUACCUAUCUCAAGAGUCCUAUUAUCCUUUCUCCCAGAACAUUGGAUUCCUAAUGCAAUGAUUUCUUUGAAACUCUGUCUUCUGCAACGUGGAUUCUUAGGAGACAAAUAUAAAA
Molecule: long non-coding RNA, 1335 nt
Organism: Erinaceus europaeus (western European hedgehog)
Lineage: Eukaryota; Metazoa; Chordata; Mammalia; Eulipotyphla; Erinaceidae
Exons: 2
Source: RefSeq, a predicted model, not a curated record